CCUACGGGAGGCAGCAGUGGGGAAUAUUGGACAAUGGGCGAAAGCCUGAUCCAGCCAUGCCGCGUGUGUGAAGAAGGCCUUCGGGUUGUAAAGCACUUUCAGUGGGGAAGAAAGCCUUGGGGCUAAUACCCUCGAGGAAGGACAUCACCCACAGAAGAAGCACCGGCUAACUCCGUGCCAGCAGCCGCGGUAAUACGGAGGGUGCGAGCGUUAAUCGGAAUUACUGGGCGUAAAGCGCGCGUAGGCGGUCUGAUAAGCCGGUUGUGAAAGCCCCGGGCUCAACCUGGGAACGGCAUCCGGAACUGUCAGGCUAGAGUGCAGGAGAGGAAGGUAGAAUUCCCGGUGUAGCAGUGAAAUGCGUAGAGAUCGGGGGGAAUACCAGUGGCGAAGGCGGCCUUCUGGACUGACACUGACGCUGAGGUGCGAAAGCGUGGGUAGCAAACAGGAUUAGAUACCCCAGUAGUC
Molecule: ribosomal RNA, 465 nt
Filed under: Vreelandella stevensii
Lineage: Bacteria; Pseudomonadati; Pseudomonadota; Gammaproteobacteria; Oceanospirillales; Halomonadaceae
Description: partial 16S ribosomal RNA
Rfam family: Bacterial small subunit ribosomal RNA
Source: RNAcentral